Rana temporaria (common frog) is the source of this 131-nucleotide non-coding RNA. RefSeq annotates it as small Cajal body-specific RNA 4. The record is from RefSeq and is a predicted model, not a curated record. The transcript has a single exon. Lineage: Eukaryota; Metazoa; Chordata; Amphibia; Anura; Ranidae.
UGUGGAGGGUGAAGAAAGCGAAGUCUGUGCAGUGAGGCUUUGCUGAUACUACCCUCCUAUAUCAACGGGGGGCACAGAGAGCAGCCCAGCUAAUAAGACAUUUGGCUGGCUGACUGCACCGCCCUACAUCC